Molecule: ribosomal RNA, 468 nt
Filed under: uncultured bacterium
Lineage: Bacteria
Description: partial 16S ribosomal RNA
Rfam family: Bacterial small subunit ribosomal RNA
Source: RNAcentral
GACGAACGCUGGCGGCGUGCUUAACACAUGCAAGUCGAACGGAAAGGCCCUGCUUUUGUGGGGUGCUCGAGUGGCGAACGGGUGAGUAACACGUGAGUAACCUGCCCUUGACUUUGGGAUAACUUCAGGAAACUGGGGCUAAUACCGGAUAGGAGCUCCUGCUGCAUGGUGGGGGUUGGAAAGUUUCGGCGGUUGGGGUUGGACUCGCGGCUUAUCAGCUUGUUGGUGGGGUAGUGGCUUACCAAGGCUUUGACGGGUAGCCGGCCUGAGAGGGUGACCGGCCACAUUGGGACUGAGAUACGGCCCAGACUGCUACGGGAGGCAGCAGUGGGGAAUAUUGCACAAUGGGCGGAAGCCUGAUGCAGCAACGCCGCGUGCGGGAUGACGGCCUUCGGGUUGUAAACCGCUUUCGCCUGUGACGAAGCGUGAGUGACGGUAAUGGGUAAAGAAGCACCGGCUAACUACGUG